GCGAGGUGGAGCGAAUCUCCAAAAAUUAGUCCCAGUUCAGAUUGCAGGCUGCAACUCGCCUGCAUGAAGUCGGAAUUGCUAGUAAUCGUGGAUCAGCAUGCCACGGUGAAUACGUUCCCGGGCCUUGUACACACCGCCCGUCACACCAUGGGAGUCGGUAACACCCGAAGCCUGUAGUCUAACCGCAAGGAGGACGCAGUCGAAGGUGGGAUUGAUGACUGGGGUGAAGUCGUAACAAGGUACC
RNAcentral lists this ribosomal RNA (244 nucleotides) under uncultured bacterium. RNAcentral describes it as "partial 16S ribosomal RNA". It matches the Rfam family "Bacterial small subunit ribosomal RNA", at positions 1257 to 1500 of the family's 1533-position model. The record is from RNAcentral.